GAUGAGGAAAUGGAAUUGUAUCUGUAUCGAUCUGUUGGAUCUGAGUAUGUACUUUCGUCUUUCUUUUUCCUACUUCUUUAUUAUUUAUUUGUUUCUCACAAAGAAGAGUAGAUUUUGCAUAAUAUCCAUGGGCUUUAAAUGAUUAAUAUAUGUCUUUAUUUUUCUUCAGGGAAUCAUACAUUCUAUCUCCAAUAAUGAUCAGUUUGAACCUUCGCCUAAAAUAUUGAUAUGUUUGCAGGGAACCAUCUCUCGAUAAUAUCUGAGGUGUAUUUGAUUAAGACUUAUCCAAUUCGUAAUACAUUUAUAGUAUUGUUUCUUAUGGUCAUAUGUUCUCUACCAUGACCAAAAUAUUUGAGAGUUUUGAGAUAAACACUCAGACAAACAUAUUUCAACACCUUCAUCCACUAUUAUGACUCUUUUAGAAGCAGAAUCUGAGUUAUCUGAUGC
Molecule: long non-coding RNA, 447 nt
Filed under: Solanum tuberosum (potato)
Lineage: Eukaryota; Viridiplantae; Streptophyta; Magnoliopsida; Solanales; Solanaceae
Description: long non-coding RNA (STUB_LNC010797)
Source: RNAcentral